CGGUAAUAGCUGGUUCCUCUCGAAACUGCUCGCAGGCAGACCUCAGCUGAGACGGGGCAUGCGGUAGAGCACUGAUUGCGUGUUUAGGAAGCGAAAGUUUUCGGCAUGCUGUCAAACUCCGAAUGUGUGUUCGUCGUAGAAGCUGGGCAGUGAGGGCAUCGGGGUAAGCUUGAUGUCCAUAAGGAAAACAAACCAGACCAAAGUUAAGGUCCCUAAGUAACAGCUAAGUGUUAAAGAACAAAUAGUGUUUAACAGCAUAGACAGCUGGAAGGUUGGCUUAGAGGCAGCCAUCCUUUAAAGAGUUCGUAACAGAUCACCAGUCAAGUUCUUGAGCCUAGAAAAUGGACGGGACUAAGUUGUUCACCGAUACUUUGGGCCACCGAAAGGUGAUGCGGUAGAGAGGCGUCGUGCGCGGGUGGAAGUGGGGCCGAGAGGUCCUGUGGACCGCGUUCGAAUGAUAAUCAUGGAAAGAGUAGUAGCGUAGAUGGGUGAGAAUCCCAUCCGCCGGAGGGGCUAGGGUUCCUCGACGAUGUUCAUCAGUCGAGGGUUAGUCGGUCCUAAGGUUCCCCCUAACAGGAGGAAUCGAAAGGGAAGCAGGUUAAAAUUCCUGCACCAAUUCAUAUUUUGUCCAGUUCCUGACACAUCGGGUCUUGUGGAGCACUCUUGUCGGAGUGUUGCCUUGAGCGAUAAAUUUGUGGAGUACCGUAAUGGUGAGAAGCAAACUAAGCUUUUGGGAGGCGGAGUAUUUCGCUUCUGCGUUAGCCUGGUGUCCGUGAAAAGGGAGCUGGAGCCGUAUGAGUUGUCCGUACCGAGAUCUGACACAGGUGCCCCUAGGUGAGUAGCCUAAGGCGUCGCGGCAGAAUCCGGGCGAGGGAAUUCGGCAAAUUAGCCCCGUACCUUUGGUAUAAGGGGUGCCAGCUCUGAAGAGAGCUGGUCGCAGUGACUAGGGAGCUCCGACUGUUUAUUAAAAACACAGGUGGCUGCUAGUCCGUAAGGAUGUGUAUAGCCGCUGAAUCCUGCCCAGUGGCAGUAUCUGAAACCAGGUUUCAACCUGACGAAGGACUGCUAAACGGCGGGGGUAACUAUGACCCUCUUAAGGUAGCGUAAUACCUUGUCGCUUAAUUGGCGACUUGCACGAACGGCCUAACGAGAGCUCUACUGUCCCCGCCCGGAGCCCGAUGAAAUUGACUUACUGGCGCACAGUCCAGUACGUCCCAGCCGCAAGCGAAGACCCCGUGGAGCUUUACUGCAACCUGCCGUUGUGGCACGAGUUGUUAUGUGUAGCGUAGACGGGAGACAUUACACAGGUGCGAGCGCUAGCUCGUCGCCGAGUCACCGAUGAAACACCGUCCUUUUCGAUUCGUCCCACUCACCUCUUAGGAGGAACCCCGGUAGGCGGGCAGUUUGGGUGGGGCGCCACUCCCUCGAAAAAAUAACAAGGGAGCCCAAAGGUCAGCUUAGGUAGGUCAGGAAUCUACCGUUAAGUGCAAGGGCAAAAGCUGGCUUGACGUGGUUUGGCAACACAACAAACCACGAUGUGAAAGCAGGGCCUAGCGAACCAACCAGCGCCGUUAGUAGGUGCGGUUGAUAACAGAAAAGUUACCCCGGGGAUAACUGAGUUGUCUGGAGCAAGAGCCCACAUCGACCUCCAGGCUUGCUACUUCGAUGUCGUCUCUUCCUAUCCUGGGUGUGCAGAAGCACCCAAGGGUGGGGUUGUUCGCCCAUUAAAAGGGAUCGUGAGAUGGG
RNAcentral lists this ribosomal RNA (1746 nucleotides) under marine metagenome. Its description in RNAcentral is "bacterial LSU rRNA". It matches the Rfam family "Archaeal large subunit ribosomal RNA", at positions 918 to 2678 of the family's 2987-position model. The record is from RNAcentral.